GUCUGUUUAAAACAAAACAACCUCUCCCAAAAAUAACUACCAAACCCAACAGAAGAACAUUCUGCUGGCCCCACUAAACCAAAUAAUCAGACAAUAACAACAUGAUGCCAUUCCAACUUAAUGAAAAUGAAUCAUUGGUGUGGGCUGGAGGAUUGAUGCUGUGAUCACACACUUGGAAUCUGCUGGUGGUGGAGAAGGGGCAGCAAGCUCUGCAGCCAUAGGCUCCAGUGUAACGCAAAUAUCAGGAGUGGCAAAGAAGAGAAAUCACAGAGUUAUCACAGCAUGUCCUGUGGGAUUUUUUGGAACAAAGGACAACUUGAGUUUCCCAAUUAGGUUUCUGCAUGUGCUUUGUGCUCCCUAACUCUUCCUGUUGACUGAGAGCACAGGACUCUGUGCCCUGAUGUUCCAAAACCCUGUGAAACCUGAUGUUCCAAAGUUGUGGGGAAAUUAAAUGAGCAAUUUCGAUGCUGGGUGGGUGGAUAUAAAUAGAACAAAAAUGCUCUUAGUAAGUAGUGUUCUAUAAGUGGCUCAAAUGACUGCUAUAUGAAGGUCAGUUUGAAAAAACCUGGUUAAACCUGUAAUAGCAACUGUGGAAAUCUAAGCAGAUAUUUCAAACACUGUCCACCUUUUUCUUUCUGUCUACAAAGUCUAUGAAGUCUAAUCCAAGAAAGGAGGAAUAGGGUACCUAAUGUACCUCAUGUGGUGGAAAAAGGGCAUCUUUUUAUCCCUAUUUUAUAAGGAAUUUAUAAGCAGAAAAUGAUGCAAAAUUUAAUUAGGAGAAAUUAUUUUCUUAUAUGCUGGAAACACAUUAAUUCCUUCCUAUAGUAAAAUCUUUGUAUAUUUGGGGAAUAUUUUGCAAUAUAUCACUGGCAAAAAGAAUCUGGCUUCAUAUUGCUACAAGAAUUUUUGGGUUUUAACAAACUAUUUAAAGAAACUUCCCUUAAGGGCUAUUAAUCACUGAAAUAGCUAUAAGCAUAGUUUUAAUGAAUCAAGAUCAUAUUUCAUAGCUUUAUUAUUUUCUUUAAAAAAUUAUUGUAUACAAAAGGCUGAAAAAGUAGUUAUGAAAUCCAAAUUAAUAGUAACUCUUAAAAAAACCCCAGAAAAUCACAUAUAUAUUUGCAAUUUAAAAUCAGGAUAGUUUUACAGAAGAUCAAGCUUGUUUUCUGCUUUUGAAAGAAGAUAGGGAGAAUUGCAUUCCUUUGAUUGCAUAGCUGUGAUUGCAGACAGUGAUAUGCUAACAAUGAUUGCCGGAAUUUUCAGAAAACUUCAUAAUGAUAAUUCAUUUACAGUUGGACAUUUGACUGCAUAUUCCAUGUCUCUUUAACAAUGCUUUUUUCUGAGGCUACAAAUCCUUGACUUCUGUGUCUUCAACAGAAUAAAGUGAGCUGGGUUCUUAGGAAGACUUGUCCAAAAGUCCCAUGUCACACAUAACCGAAAUUAUUUAGAAUUUUGACCUAAUGCCAUCUGUAUUAUCCAACAUCUGUUAAGCUGUUGUGAUCACACCACUUUUUUCCGUCUUUCUCUCUUUAUACAGUCACACAAUUUCCUUAUUUUUUUUGUUUUCUCUUAUUCAUCCAGGAAAAGCUGGUGAAAGCAGGUUGCGUGAUUUGCUCAUUUGCACUGCACAAAGCACAGGCAGGUCCUGGGCUGUGCUUCCAGGCUGCACAACAGGCAAAUGGAGCAGAUACAUGAAACAAUAUAAAAGCAUUAAAAGAUGACUUGGCUUCUUUCCAAACAAAUUGGGAUUGCACAGCCUGGGAAAGGGAAGGCUUUGGGGGGACCUAA
RNAcentral lists this long non-coding RNA (1785 nucleotides) under Catharus ustulatus (Swainson's thrush). RNAcentral's name for it is "lncRNA (ENSCUSG00005013692.1)". The record is from RNAcentral. Lineage: Eukaryota; Metazoa; Chordata; Aves; Passeriformes; Turdidae.